This 234-nucleotide ribosomal RNA is filed under the name uncultured prokaryote. Its description in RNAcentral is "partial 16S ribosomal RNA". The record is from RNAcentral.
UUUUGUGCAUAUACCUGGUCUUUCGUAUUCUGGCGUGAAAUCGCCGACUGAAUGCCAGCAAUCUCUUUUUGAGUCUCAUUUUGCAUCUCGGCAAUCUCUUUCUGAUUGUCCAGUUGCCUUUUAGUAAGCUCUUUUUGAUUCUCAAAUCCGGCGUCAACCAUACCAGCAGAGGAAGCAUCAGCACCAGCACGCUCCCAAGCAUUAAGCUCAGGAAAUGCAGCAGCAAGAUAAUCA